AUGAAAAUCAGUGGAUGGAAAGAAAAACUGCUAUCUGCGGGUGGAAAGAAAAUUUUGCUCAAAUCUAUUGUACAAGCUAUCCCAGCUUAUGCCAUGUCCGUCUUUAAAAUUCCUAAAAGAACUUGCAAGGGAAUCAUCGACGCGAUGUCGCAAUUUUGGUGGGGUGACGAGGACAACCAGAAGAGAAUGCAUUGGAUGGCGUGGUGGAAGAUGUGCGUCCCAAAAGACCAAGGAGGUAUGGGGUUUCGAGAUAUCCACUGCUUUAAUCUGGCAUUGUUAGCCAAACAAGCAUGGCGUCUACUUGAUAAUCCUGAGUCUUUAUGUGCUACUAUCUUGAGAGUUAAAUAUUUUCCGGACGACGAUUUAAUGAGUGCAAAUCUAAAAAAGGGCUUCUCCUUUACUUGGCAAAGUAUCAUGGCGGGAGUGAACUGUCUGAAAAACGGUUAUAUUUGGCGAGUUGGAAACGGACAUAAUAUUGAUAUUUGGAGAGAUGCAUGGAUUCCGAACUGUGUGAAUAGGAAAAUUAUUACUCAUAAAAGGGGACAACUACUAUCAAAGGUCUGUGAUCUUAUUGACCCAGUCACGAAUUCUUGGGAUGAAGAUUUGGUGAGAUAA
RNAcentral lists this ribosomal RNA (615 nucleotides) under Triticum aestivum (bread wheat). RNAcentral describes it as "partial small subunit ribosomal RNA". The record is from RNAcentral. Lineage: Eukaryota; Viridiplantae; Streptophyta; Magnoliopsida; Poales; Poaceae.